CCUACGGGAGGCAGCAGUGAGGAAUAUUGGUCAAUGGACGCAAGUCUGAACCAGCCAUGCCGCGUGCAGGAAGACGGCUCUAUGAGUUGUAAACUGCUUUUGUACGAGGGUAAAUCCCGAUACGUGUAUCUGGUUGAAAGUAUCGUACGAAUAAGGAUCGGCUAACUCCGUGCCAGCAGCCGCGGUAAUACGGAGGAUUCAAGCGUUAUCCGGAUUUAUUGGGUUUAAAGGGUGCGUAGGCGGUUCGAUAAGUUAGAUGUGAAAUCCCGGGGCUCAACCCCGGAACUGCCUUUGAUACUGUCGGGCUAGAGUUUAGUUGCGGUAGGCGGAAUGUAUGGUGUAGCGGUGAAAUGCAUAGAGAUCAUACAGAACACCGAUUGCGAAGGCAGCUUACCAAACUACGACUGACGUUGAGGCACGAAAGCGUGGGGAGCAAACAGGAUUAGAUACCCUUGUAGUC
RNAcentral lists this ribosomal RNA (460 nucleotides) under uncultured bacterium. RNAcentral's name for it is "partial 16S ribosomal RNA". It matches the Rfam family "Bacterial small subunit ribosomal RNA", at positions 338 to 795 of the family's 1533-position model. The record is from RNAcentral.